CCUCCAAAACGUUAAUAAACUUGAAUAUCGGGGGACUGACAUUUUUCACUUGGGGACUACUCUGACUCGCUUUUAUCUAUACGGGGGUUUUAGCUUCUUUCUAGGAAUCUGGGGAAUACUAGCUCGCUCAUAUUCAGGUCUAUGUUAUGCCUUCUUCUGGCGUGUCCCUCAUCUCGGACACUUGUACUUUCGAGGCCUGGCGCUGGUGAAUAAAAUACAAUGAUGUUUCAAUUAUUUAUUCCAAACAGUUAUCUACAUUUAAGUGUGAUAUGUGAUCAUUUGAUUUAAAUAGUAAACUUUGUUUUUAACUUAUUUCUGUUAAUGAAAAUCUUUUAUAAAUUUAAGUUAAGUUUUAAAUACGAAACUAAGUUAUUAAAUCUGAAGAUAAA
RNAcentral lists this long non-coding RNA (389 nucleotides) under Mytilus galloprovincialis (Mediterranean mussel). The record is from RNAcentral. Lineage: Eukaryota; Metazoa; Mollusca; Bivalvia; Mytilida; Mytilidae.